AUGGAAUAGACAUUUUUGUGUUUCCUCUCGUUGAAGACGUCGACUGUUUUCUCUUCUUCGUAUGACCAGCUCAGAAUUGAGCUUUUUCAGGAUAAACAGGAAUACAGGUCUAUUUUCAAUUGAGUUUCAUCUUAAAAGCCUCUGACUCGAUGCCAUUGAUUGACCAUCUCACUCAGGAGUGCUUACGAAGGAGUGCAGGAAGAAGAUUUGCUUUAGAGCUGGAAUGAAAAAGACAGCGUGCUUUACCAUGUAUAGCAUUUGGUGUUUGCUUAUCACGAAGGACUGAAUGAAUAACUGUCGUUUUCUUUCGAUGAUGACCUGAUUUCCAUUGGAGAAGAUGUAUUACUGUGUGACAGUACAAUCUCCAGAGGAGGGAGUUGUAAGGAGUAGGAUUUCCCAUGAGAGUACUCCAUCUAAACCCAACCAGUCAGAGUUAGAUGAAUGUAAACGCAAACUGGUACAAGAUAUUUCUC
Lytechinus pictus (painted urchin) is the source of this 473-nucleotide long non-coding RNA. RefSeq lists it as uncharacterized. Lineage: Eukaryota; Metazoa; Echinodermata; Echinoidea; Temnopleuroida; Toxopneustidae. The transcript has 3 exons. The record is from RefSeq and is a predicted model, not a curated record.